ACCUGGGUGGCUCAGUCGGUUGAGCGUCUGACUUUGGCUCAGGUCACAAUCUCACCGUUCGUGAGUUCGAGCCUCGCGUCGGGCU
This 85-nucleotide transfer RNA is filed under the name Felis catus (domestic cat). It matches the Rfam family "tRNA". From Rfam's summary of the family: Transfer RNA (tRNA) molecules are approximately 80 nucleotides in length. Lineage: Eukaryota; Metazoa; Chordata; Mammalia; Carnivora; Felidae. The record is from Rfam by way of RNAcentral.